AUUGCUGUUUUAAAUAUAUAAAAUGCUUACACUUUUUGAAAAACGAUGAAUUUUUCCCAUAAUCAAAGAGUUAAGUGUUGAUUACCAAUUGACAAAAUAGAUGAAAUAACUUAGGUAUACAAAAUGAAAUCACCCACAAACAAGCAAGAAAAUAGAUUCUAGAGCCAAGUAAUAAAAAAAUCAGAAAACCAAACCCAACAAUCAAAUAAAAAAAAUGGAUAAUUACCAAUAAAAACUCAUACUUGUAAUGAGUUUUGACUAUACCUACACCCAAAAUUGGUAGCUAGACCAAGAGUAGAGAGGGAUAUUGAAGUGUAAUUGCAGACUUAUUAAAACUUGAGAAGGGGCUAUGGAGGACCUGUGAUUUAAGAGACUAAAGAUUUUUUGUCAAAAGGAGAGAUUGAAAAUAGGGAAUAAGGAACGUUUAUAAAUAAAAAGAAUAAUGUAUAAUUAAAAUUUUACAAAUUGUAUAAGUAAAAAAUUGGAAUGCAAAAAUUUUAAACCAUCUAAAACCACCGAUUUGGUUGUUCGAAAAUAUGUGAUAAAAUCAUGGUUAAGAAACCAUCACUUUAUAAUCUAAAACUACCAUUCUCCAGGAACAAUCUUCACAAACAAGUAGCAUUACCAUACCAUACUUUAUGAAUCCAUGUGAAACUAUAUCAUAUGAUAAUACAAUACAUAUGACACUGCACUCAAUCCAAGCGGGUGAAGAGCAAACUCUCUGUCAAAACAAAGAAUCCGAUUGAAACCAUCCUAAUUGAUAAGUUAAGCUACCAAACAUUCAAAAGAUAAAGAUAAAAGCACAUCUACAUUCCUCCAUGACAAUAGCAUUUACUUCGUAUCAGCCAAAUAUCCACACAUGUAUACGCAGAGACAAUCAGUGCGUAUACAACUUUAAAACAUAAAUGCAGAAUUCAUUUACGAUGCAUUACCUGACCUUGUGUAAAUUGGACAA
This 955-nucleotide unclassified non-coding RNA is filed under the name Hevea brasiliensis (rubber tree). Lineage: Eukaryota; Viridiplantae; Streptophyta; Magnoliopsida; Malpighiales; Euphorbiaceae. The record is from RNAcentral.